AAUUGGUUUGAGGGUUUCAGGUUAUUGUUAAGCUGAGUAACAUUGUCUUCCUUCGCAACCAUGCUUGACUAGUUUUUU
Molecule: small RNA, 78 nt
Filed under: Saimiri boliviensis boliviensis (Bolivian squirrel monkey)
Lineage: Eukaryota; Metazoa; Chordata; Mammalia; Primates; Cebidae
Description: Y RNA (ENSSBOG00000006132.1)
Source: RNAcentral